RNAcentral lists this transfer RNA (82 nucleotides) under Candidatus Nesterenkonia stercoripullorum. RNAcentral's name for it is "tRNA-Leu". It matches the Rfam family "tRNA". Rfam says of the family: Transfer RNA (tRNA) molecules are approximately 80 nucleotides in length. Their secondary structure includes four short double-helical elements and three loops (D, anti-codon, and T loops). The record is from RNAcentral. Lineage: Bacteria; Bacillati; Actinomycetota; Actinomycetes; Micrococcales; Micrococcaceae.
GCCCGAAUGGCGGAAUCGGUAGACGCGCCGCACUCAAAAUGCGGUACCUCACGGUGUGUGGGUUCGAGUCCCACUUCGGGCA